RNAcentral lists this ribosomal RNA (209 nucleotides) under uncultured bacterium. RNAcentral's name for it is "partial 16S ribosomal RNA". It matches the Rfam family "Bacterial small subunit ribosomal RNA", at positions 323 to 524 of the family's 1533-position model. The record is from RNAcentral.
GCAGCCGCGGUAAUUCCUACGGGAGGCAGCAGUGGGGAAUUUUGGACAAUGGGCGAAAGCCUGAUCCAGCCAUGCCGCGUGAGUGAAGAAGGCCUUCGGGUUGUAAAGCUCUUUCAGUCGGAAAGAAACGAUUGUGAUUAAUACUCACAAUUAAUGACGGUACCGACAGAAGAAGCACCGGCUAACUACGUGCCAGCAGCCGCGGUAAU